GGGACACGUGGUAUCCUGUCUGAAUAUGGGGGGACCAUCCUCCAAGGCUAAAUACUCCUGACUGACCGAUAGUGAACCAGUACCGUGAGGGAAAGGCGAAAAGAACCCCGGCGAGGGGAGUGAAAAAGAACCUGAAACCGUGUACGUACAAGCAGUGGGAGCCUCUUAAUGGGGUGACUGCGUACCUUUUGUAUAAUGGGUCAGCGACUUAUAUUCUGUAGCAAGGUUAACCGAAUAGGGGAGCCGAAGGGAAACCGAGUCUUAACUGGGCGUUAAGUUGCAGGGUAUAGACCCGAAACCCGGUGAUCUAGCCAUGGGCAGGUUGAAGGUUGGGUAACACUAACUGGAGGACCGAACCGACUAAUGUUGAAAAAUUAGCGGAUGACUUGUGGCUGGGGGUGAAAGGCCAAUCAAACCGGGAGAUAGCUGGUUCUCCCCGAAAGCUAUUUAGGUAGCGCCUCGUGAAUUCAUCUCCGGGGGUAGAGCACUGUUUCGGCAAGGGGGUCAUCCCGACUUACCAACCCGAUGCAAACUGCGAAUACCGGAGAAUGUUAUCACGGGAGACACAC
RNAcentral lists this ribosomal RNA (569 nucleotides) under Escherichia coli. RNAcentral describes it as "partial 23S ribosomal RNA". It matches the Rfam family "Bacterial large subunit ribosomal RNA", at positions 419 to 989 of the family's 2925-position model. Lineage: Bacteria; Pseudomonadati; Pseudomonadota; Gammaproteobacteria; Enterobacterales; Enterobacteriaceae. The record is from RNAcentral.